CCCUUAGAUGUUCUGGGCUGCACGCGCGCUACACUGAUGCGCUCAACGAGUUUUAACCUUGCCUGGAAAGGUUGGGUAAUCUUUUUAAAACGCAUCGUGAUGGGGAUAGAUUAUUGCAAUUAUUAAUCUUCAACGAGGAAUUCCUAGUAGGCGCGAGUCAUCAGCUCGUGCUGAUUACGUCCCUGCCCUUUGUACACACCGCCCGUCGCUCCUACCGAUUGAAUGGUCCGGUGAAGCCUCGGGAUUGUGGCCAGUUCACUUUAUUGGGAGUUGGCUGCGAGAACUUGUCUAAACCUUAUCAUUUAGAGGAAGGUGAAGUCGUAACA
Molecule: ribosomal RNA, 326 nt
Filed under: uncultured eukaryote
Lineage: Eukaryota
Description: partial 18S ribosomal RNA
Rfam family: Eukaryotic small subunit ribosomal RNA
Source: RNAcentral